ACGUUACAAAGAAAAGGGGUGUUUAGCUCACAGUCUUGGAGGCCCAGGGUCAUGGCAUCAGCUUAGGGCACUCUGCUACCUCACGACGUGUAGAUGGCAUCUUGGCGAGAGGGCUGUGAGUGCAGAGGUCGCAGGCUGAGGUGGGACGCCAGAGAGAUCCAGGGGCCAGGCGUGCUCUUUAUACAGGGGCACGUGUGGGGACUGACUAGUGUCCCCAAAGCCCAAUAUGAGUCACUUCCAAGGGUGAAGCCCCCGGUGACCACCUCUAGGCCCCGUCUCCUUGAGUGUCUCCCUCCACAGCAUGGCCCUCGGGGGACACGCUCACAGUAUGUCCAGACACCCAGGGACUUCCCUUCCAUCCACGUGAGGCUGGACGGAGGCACCUCCACGUCCUGCUGGGAUGGGGUCCGAGGGGCCACUAAAGGGCUGGACAGCGGGUCCCCCUUUUCCUGCUCACCCACCCUGGAGUCGCCCUCUGUGGGAAGUCUGGGGCUAUGACGGGCACCUCUGUCCCCCUGGGAGCAGUGUCACAGGUCCAGUGGGAGGUGGGACCGUGGGCAUUGUCCCCAUACUGAGGUCCCCUCAUCAAAGGACUAGGGAGCCGGAACUGUCACCCCCAGUGACAGUCAGGAAAGCCCCCGCCUGGGUGCUAAGGAGGCUAAACAGGGACCCUGGACUGGGACCUUCACUGUGAGUCACGAGCAGGUGCCACACGUGGCCCCUGUGGGCAUGGGCUCAGGGAGGUCCAGCAGGACCCGAGCCUUUACACACAGAGGUGUUCAGCAACAGCAGCAGAGCCCGGGACACUUGUCACACCAAGAACCAGGACGAUGGCAGGUGGAGUGAGUAAAAGAGUCACCAGAGGCCAUCAGGAGGCUGGCGGACAUGACCUGACCUUAAAGCAGCCAUUAAAACGGCACCCAAGAGCCGUGAGGAGCCAACUGCAGAAAAAGAAAAGAAAUGGAAAUCCUCGGGAAGGAAAUAGAAGGUACAGGAAGCUCCAAAUAAGCCACCUCCUCGGCCUUUUUGUUAUAUUUUAUUUUGAGUCAGG
This 1051-nucleotide long non-coding RNA is filed under the name Marmota monax (woodchuck). Lineage: Eukaryota; Metazoa; Chordata; Mammalia; Rodentia; Sciuridae. The record is from RNAcentral.